GACGAACGCUGGCGGCGUGCUUAACACAUGCAAGUCGAACGGAAAGGCCCUGCUUUUGUGGGGUGCUCGAGUGGCGAACGGGUGAGUAACACGUGAGUAACCUGCCCUUGACUUUGGGAUAACUUCAGGAAACUGGGGCUAAUACCGGAUAGGAGCUCCUGCUGCAUGGUGGGGGUUGGAAAGUUUCGGCGGUUGGGGAUGGACUCGCGGCUUAUCAGCUUGUUGGUGGGGUAGUGGCUUACCAAGGCUUUGACGGGUAGCCGGCCUGAGAGGGUUACCGGCCACAAUGGGACUGAGGUACGGACCAGACUCCUACGGGAGGCAGCAGUGGGGAGUAUUGCACAAUGGGCGGAAGCCUGAGGCAGCAGCGCCGCGUGCGGGAUGACGGCCUUCGGGUGGUAAACCGCUUUCGCCUGUGACGAAGCGUGAGUGACGGUAAUGGGUAAAGAAGCACCGGCUAACUACGUG
RNAcentral lists this ribosomal RNA (468 nucleotides) under uncultured bacterium. RNAcentral's name for it is "partial 16S ribosomal RNA". It matches the Rfam family "Bacterial small subunit ribosomal RNA", at positions 28 to 507 of the family's 1533-position model. The record is from RNAcentral.